UUUCGUUACAAAAAAGAAAAAAAAACUACUCUAACCUAUCUAACUUCAAAAUUAGACCGUUUAUCGAAAUAAUUUCGUUCCGAAAAAUAAUUCCUACCCUAUCUAACUUCAAAAUGACUGCUCUUAAUCUAAAGGCUAGCCUUUAUAUUUAUAGUGCGUUUGUAUAAAAAUUACAAUUGCAUAUAUAUCACUAGCCUUCUUGUGCCCAUUUUGCUGGGCGUCAAAAAGUCAAAAAAUCAAAUUAGCAAAAAUAAUAACUGCAAACUAUGCGCAUUCAAAUUACAAUAUGCUGUCAACAGUAAUUCUAUCUAAUUAUGUGUUAAUUUGCAAAAUAAAAAAAACACGACUUCAAUUACAUUCACAAGUAAUACAAUGUAACAAAA
RNAcentral lists this unclassified non-coding RNA (383 nucleotides) under Melitaea cinxia (Glanville fritillary). RNAcentral describes it as "misc RNA ENSMCXG00005016144.1". The record is from RNAcentral. Lineage: Eukaryota; Metazoa; Arthropoda; Insecta; Lepidoptera; Nymphalidae.